Long non-coding RNA from Rhagoletis zephyria (snowberry fruit fly), 1665 nucleotides. RefSeq lists it as uncharacterized. NCBI's taxonomy places the organism in Eukaryota, Metazoa, Arthropoda, Insecta, Diptera, Tephritidae. The record is from RefSeq and is a predicted model, not a curated record.
AACCGUUGCACGUACACGGUGGUAAGUUUUCAUUUACAUGGCACUCUCAUAAGUUUGAUCGGGUGAGCUGACACGUUAACGUACGGGUGAGCCACGCGCGACGGUUACGCGUGCUUCUCUCUCUCACUAUCAACAGUAAAUUUUAUAUGUUGCUACGUCAAACAGACACGGCAUACGUACACGUCGGUGAGGGUGGGCACCUUUAGGUAGUAUAUAAGCAGCAACAAGAUAAACGCUAUUAGAACGAUAUCUUAUUCGAACGCAGAGGAAUUCAACUUCAUCGGUGUCAGUGAACUCAAUUUCUUCAGAAGAAAGGUCAGUCUGGACAGCUAUUAAGACGCCUCCACCUUUUUUAUUUAAACGGUCGUUUCGAAACACUUCAUACUUAGGACACAAAAUUUCGGAGUUGAACACAUUCGGCUUGAGCCAGGUUUCAGUAAACACCAGUACUUUGAAGUCAAAAUCAUGGGACUGCAAGUGUAACCUUGAUAGCUUUGUGUUCAAACCUCUCAGAUUUUGGUAUUAAAUGCUAAUGGUGAAGUUACUUAUUAGUUUUUUGAUGCCGAGGUGGACGGCGGAAGUUGAUCCAAAUUUUGCCAUUGCGGUCUAGAUCUAAAUUCAAAUUCGCGAAUGAAGGCACCGCUUGGCCAAAAAGAUGGGCUCAUUACUCUAUCAAAGCAGUCUUCGGAUAUGUCUAUUUUAAAAGAAGAAAUGCUUCUUUCAUACGAGAAUCUGAACUUGCGUACAUGCAACUCAUUUGCUAUCAGCCUGGAAGUUAAAUACCCCUUCACAUCAUCGACAGUGGUAUCUUUUGAAAACCUAUAUACAAAGACCGAUUUUUUGGAAGGGACAACGAUUAAAUCCCUCGGGAUGGGGUUAACGUAAUCGGAAACGGUCUCAGAUGUGGUAGGGGGUUGCGGUACAGCUGUCAAAUCCUUGGAAGGAGCAUCGAUGGCUCCGGAUGUGGUAGGGGGUUGAGAUGUAGUUGUGGAGUUUUUGGAAGGAGCAACGACUACUUGCAUCGGAGCGGUGUUGACGCAAUCGCAGACGGCUUCAGAUGUGGUAGAGGGUUGAGAUGAAGCUGUUGAACAGGAAUUUAGUGAGACUCCAGUAGUAGAAGGACGUGGUUGGGGAGAUUCAGUCCGCUGAGGAAUCGGUGUUAAAACUUAUGAGUUCUUUGUUCAUAGCUGGAGUCAAAAGUGGGCGGUUCUGCGGAAGAUCAAGGUCCGCAGUGAUGGGAUUCAACACAAUAUUUUCCACGCCUCUCCUACGUCUUUUAAGACCUUUUCCAGGAGAAGGAGAGGAGGAAGUAUCUAAUAAUUUAAAUUCUUUGAAUUCAUCCUCAUACUUCUUGAACUUCUCGUUGAGAAGUUUUAGCUCUUUGCUUAUCUCCGAAAAUCCAUUUAUAGCGGUUCUAAAUAGUUUACAGAGAUCCACAACAGUUUUUUUACACUUUGGACAUGACCAGCGAAGUCCAUUGUCUCCAAUAAUCAUAUCCAGAACUCUCCCAUUAAUACCAGCACACUUUAAAUGAGACAGUUCAUCGCAAAGCCAGCACGCCACAAAACGGUCCGAACCGGCUUUUACAUUACAUUUUUCGAACAGACAGGACAUUUUUAGCGAAUUUUAUUAAAAAAGAAUAAAAAUAGCGAAAUUAGGAAUGUA